GAGGAAAGUCCGGGCCCCAACGGGCAGAGCGCCAGGUAACACCUGGGAGGCGCGAGCCUACGGAAAGUGCCGCAGAAAAUAUACCGCCUAAGCGCCUUCGGGCGCCGGUAAGGGUGAAAUGGUGCGGUAAGAGCGCACCGCGCCGCUGGUAACAGCGGUGGCAGGGUAAACCCCACCCGGAGCAAGACCAAAUAGGGAUCCACGCGUUUCGGCGCACGGUGCGGCCCGCGCUGGGAUCCGGGUAGGUCGCUUGAGGUGUGUGGCGACACACAUCCCAGAUAAAUGACUGCUCACGACAGAACCCGGCUUAU
RNAcentral lists this RNase P RNA (311 nucleotides) under unidentified bacterium SM-A02. RNAcentral describes it as "partial RNAase P". It matches the Rfam family "Bacterial RNase P class A", at positions 43 to 352 of the family's 367-position model. From Rfam's summary of the family: Ribonuclease P (RNase P) is a ubiquitous endoribonuclease, found in archaea, bacteria and eukarya as well as chloroplasts and mitochondria. Its best characterised activity is the generation of mature 5'-ends of tRNAs by cleaving the 5'-leader elements of precursor-tRNAs. The record is from RNAcentral.